This 1998-nucleotide ribosomal RNA is filed under the name human gut metagenome. RNAcentral describes it as "bacterial LSU rRNA". It matches the Rfam family "Bacterial large subunit ribosomal RNA", at positions 465 to 2471 of the family's 2925-position model. The record is from RNAcentral.
GCUAAAUACUCCCGAGAGACCGAUAGUGAACCAGUACCGCGAGGGAAAGGUGAAAAGUACCCCGAGCAGGGGGGUGAAAUAGACCCUGAACCCGCGCGCCUACAAGCGGUCGGAGCCAUGAAAUAUGGUGACGGCGUGCCUUUUGCAUAAUGAGCCUACGAGUUAGUCGUCACCAGCGAGGUUAAGGGCUUCAGGCCCGUUAGCCGAAGUGAAAGCGAGCCUUAACAGGGCGUCGAGUUGGUGGCGCUAGACGCGAAACCUUGUGAUCUACCCACGAGCAGGUUGAAGUCGCGGUAACACGUGAUGGAGGACCGAACCGGUAAACGUUGAAAAGUUUUCGGAUGACUCGCGGGUAGGGGUGAAAGGCCAAUCAAACUGGGAAAUAGCUCGUACUCUCCGAAAUGCAUUUCGGUGCAGCCUGUGAUGUUCUGUUCCAGAGGUAGAGCUACUGGUUGGACGCGAGGGCUUCACCGCCUAUCAAAUCCGGAUAAACUCCGAAUGCUGGAACACGAAAUCAUGGAGUGAGCCCGCGGGUGCUAAGGUCCGCGGACGAGAGGGAAAGAACCCGGACCACCGGCUAAGGUCCCGGAUGGACAGUUAAGUUGAUCAAACGAGGUGGGAUCGCUGAGACAGCUAGGAUGUUGGCUUGGAAGCAGCCAUUCAUUUAAAGAGUGCGUAACAGCUCACUAGUCGAGCGAUCCCGCGUGGAUAAUACACGGGCAUCAAACUGUCAACCGAAGCCGUGGGGUUAGUUAAUGACUAACCGGUAGGAGAGCAUUCCUGCCAGCUUUGAAGGUCACCCGCGAGAGUGACUGGAGCGGCAUGAAAAGCAAAUGUAGGCAUAAGUAACGAUAAUGGGGGCGAGAACCCCCCACGCCGCAAGACCAAGGAUUCCCCGGCAAUGUCAAUCAGCCGGGGGUCAGCCGGCCUCUAAGGCUCACCCGAAAGGGGAUGCCGACGAGAAACGGGUUAACAUUCCCGUGCUUCUCGUCACCGUGACGCGGUGACGGGGUGAUGAAUGGACCGCGCGCUGACGGAAUAGCGCGUUGAAGGCCGUACCCUAUGACGGUGGUAGUCAAGCACGCCACCCGAGGCGAAAGUCGAUAGUACCUCGAGGCCUCGGCCGAGGGGAUAGCGUCCAGGCAAUUUACCCCCUAGAAAACCCGCUAAACUUCAAGUGACGAGGAACCGUACUGUAAACGGACACACGUGGUCGGGUAGAACAUACCAAGGCGCUCGAGUGAUUCAUGGUCAAGGAACUAGGCAAAAUAGUCCUGUAACUUCGGGAAAAAGGACGCUCUAGUGAUAGAGCCGCAGAGUAAUGGCCCAGGCGACUGUUUACCAAAAACACAUGGCUAUGCCAAAUCGAAAGAUGACGUAUAUGGCCUGACACCUGCCCGGUGCCGGAAGGUUAAGAGGAGAGCUCAUCGGAAACGAGAAGGUUUGAAUUGAAGCCCCGGUAAACGGCGGCCGUAACUAUAACGGUCCUAAGGUAGCGAAAUUCCUUGUCGGAUAAGUUCCGACCUGCACGAAUGGUGUAACGAUCUGGGCACUGUCUCGACCAUGAGCUCGGUGAAAUUGUAGUUCCGGUGAAGAUGCCGGGUACCCGCGACGGGACGGAAAGACCCCGUGAACCUUUACUGCAGCUUCGCGUUGUUCCCGGGCACGGGACGUGUAGGAUAGGUCGGAGGCUACGAGUCGGUUUCGCCAGGAAUCGAGGAGCCAUCGUUGAAAUACGACCCUUCUCUUGUCUGGGAUCUAACCCAUGGUAAUGGGGACACCGCGUGGUGGGUAGUUUGACUGGGGUGGUCGCCUCCAAAAGCGUAACGGAGGCUUCCAAAGGUACCCUCGGGUUGGUUGGUAAUCAACCGUAGAGUGCAAUGGCACAAGGGUGCUUGACCGGGAGACCAACAAGUCGAUCGGGUGCGAAAGCAGGGCAUAGUGAUCCGGUGAUCCCGCGUGGAAGGGUCAUCGCUCAAAGGAUAAAAGGUACUCCGG